Molecule: long non-coding RNA, 2891 nt
Organism: Neofelis nebulosa (Clouded leopard)
Lineage: Eukaryota; Metazoa; Chordata; Mammalia; Carnivora; Felidae
Exons: 2
Source: RefSeq, a predicted model, not a curated record
UAUCUUUCUGCUACUUCAUUAUUAGUGUAAAGAAAUUCAACUGAUUUUUGCGUAUUAAUUUUGUAUCUUAUGAGUUUACUGAAAUCAUUUGUCAGUUCUAGUAGUUUUUUGGUUGAGUCUUUCUGCAAACAGUGCAAGUUUUACUUUUUCCUUACCAAUUUGGAUGCUUUUUAUUUCUUUUGUUGUUGUUGUUUGAUUACUGUGAGUAGAACUUCCAGUACUAUGUUGAAGAAGUGGCAAGAGUAGACAUUCUUGUUCUGUUCCUGAUCUUAGAGAAAAAGCUGUCAGGUUUUCACCACUUAGUAUGAUGUUGGCUCUGAGUUUUUCAUAUCAUGGCCUUUAUUAUACUGAGAUAUGUUUCCUCUAAACCUGCUUUAUUGAGGGUUUUUGUCAUGGAUAUGUGUUGUACCUUGUCAAAUGCCUUUUCUGCAUCUUUGCGAUGCUCAUGUUUUUUAUCCUUUUUUCUUGUUCAUGUGAUCUAUCACAUUGAUUUGAAAAUAUUGAACCAUCCUUUUAUUCCUGAAAUUAAUCCCACUUUAUCCUGAUGAUUGAUUUUUUUAAAUGUAUUGUUGAAUUCUGUUUGCUAAUAUUUAGUUGAUGAUUUUUAUAUCAUCACAGAUAUGGCCUAUAGUUUUUUGUUGUUGUUGUCUUUUUCUGGUUUUGGUAUUAAUACUGGCCUCAUAGAAUGAAUUUGGAAGUUUUUCUUCCUCCUCUAUAUUUUUGGAAUAGUUUGAGAAGAGUAAAUAUUACCUGUUCUUUAAAUGUUUGUUAGAAUUCACCUGUGAAGCUAUCUGGUCCUGUACUUUAGCUUGUUGGGAGUUUUUUUUGUUUUUGUUUUUUUUAUUAGUGAUUCAAUUUCAUUGCUAGUAAUCGAUUUGUUCAAAUUUUUUAUUUCUUCCUGAUUCAGUUUUGGAAGAUUAUGUUUCUAGGAAUUUAUCCAUUUCUUCUAGGUUAUUGAAUUUGUUGGCAUAUAAUUUUUCAUAAUAUUCUCUUAUAAUCCCCUUGUUUCUGUGAUGUAGUUGAUCUUUUCAAAGAAACAGCUUCUGGUUUCAUUUAUCUGUUAUGUUCUUUUGGUCUCUAUUUCAUUUAUUUCUGCUCUAAUCUUUAUUAUUUCCUUCCUUCUUUUGGCUUUGGGCUUUGUUCUUUUUCUAGCUCUUAUAGGUGUUAGAUUGUUUAUCCUGCUAAGUCACCUCAGCUAGAAUCCCCUGCCCUUGAUAUCUGAUCAUCCUAGAUAUCUGCUCUGGUUCCUCACCUUCCACUUUCCCCCAGGUAAUGUCUGAUCACCUGGGCUAUCUUCAGCAACAGUCCUCUUGGCUUGGUUUAGCCAGAAUUUCUCCUUAUCUUUGAUGUUUCCCUUAGUAAUUUUCCACCCACUAACCCCCACCCUUUUCCUUGGCCAUAAAUUCCCACUUGGCAAUGCUGUAUUCAGGGCUGAGUUGCUUCUUUCCUACUGUAAGAUCACAUUGCAAGUGGUCCUAAUACCUAUUGUGAUGGUCCCAAGUGUGAUUGGAUAUUUUUUUUUUUUUUUAGCAGAGGAACUUCUAAUUAGAUAUACUAAAAGGGGUCUUGAAAUGUGAAAACAUCCCAUUUUAUUUCCUCUUCAACUCAAUAUUUUCUUUUAAUUUUUUUUUAAAGUUUAUUUAUUUUGAGAGAGAGAGGUAGCAGGACAAGGGCAGAGAGAGAGAGGGAGGCAGAGAAUUCCAAGCAGGCUCCACACUGUCAGUGCAGGAGCCCGAUGUAGGGCUCAAACUCCCAAACCACGAGAUCAUGACCUGAGCUGAAGUCAGACAGUUAAUUGACUUAGCCACCCAGGUGCCCCUCGAUAUUUUUAAACAUUGGAUAUUUUUAAAAGAAGCCCACUAGAUUUAUGUAAAAAGCCUAAAUUUUAUUAAAUUUUAUUAUCUCAUAUCGGGAGACAGUAUUAUGUAACAUGAUUAGUUUGAGGAUUUAUAGCUACUCAGUUGAGUUUGAAACCUGUUUCUGUGAGUUAGCACUGCCCUUAUCUUUCUUGUGCCUUAGUUUCCUUACCUGUAAAAUAGCAAUAAUCAAUAGUGCUUACCCCUUAGGUUGUUGGAGGAUUAAAUGAGAUCAAUGCAAAUAUAGGGGUUGGCUAAAUGGUUAGGGAAUUGUAAAUGUUCUGCAUAUGCCAACAACAACAACAACAACUGUAAUAAGACACUUAUGUACCAGGUACCAUACAUAUUUAAUCAUUUAAUGCUCAUCCUAUGAGCUAAGGAGUAUUAUUAUCUCCAUUGAAUUGAAGAGGAAACCAUGAUAUAGAGGACUUAAGUAAAUUCCCAGAAGUUGCAUACAGUAGAAAGUAUUGGAGCUGAUAUUCAGAUUCAGGCUGUCAGGCUCUAGCGUCUUUACUGUUAACCCUAUAUAUUCUUAGCAUAAUUUGCAUUUCAGCUCCCUGGUUAGAUGAAACUUGCCUUUGAUAAAUGUAUUUGUUGUAGGCUAAAUGGUGACAGCCCUUUAGGAUGAUUUGAUAUUGUGUUUAUUUUAUAGUUUACAUGAUAUUCUUUGAGACUUCAGUGCUAUAAUCUUCAUUCUUCUAACCAUGCUAUUUGAGUUUCUUUGAUAUGAAGAUUUCUUAAAAUGUACUACUUUUUCCUUUUUAAUUUUAGAUGUUAUUGAAUUGUUCUUUAUUUAUGUUUUAUACUGAAUGAGGAUCAUAGCACUAAUAAUGGAUCUAACCUUUGACGAUGUUUGUCUCUGUGAUGUUUGUUUUUAAAGAAAUAUACCUUCACAUUUUUAGGGGGCAAGAUUACAUUCUUUUCAGAUAUUUUAAGAAAUGUUAAUAUCUAAAAGGUAUAUGACUAUAAUAUGUUCACAUAAUAUUUAUGUUGUGUAUGUACAUAUAAAAUAUAUUAAAAUACAUACAACUUUAA